RNAcentral lists this transfer RNA (73 nucleotides) under Salmo salar (Atlantic salmon). It matches the Rfam family "tRNA". Rfam says of the family: Transfer RNA (tRNA) molecules are approximately 80 nucleotides in length. Lineage: Eukaryota; Metazoa; Chordata; Actinopteri; Salmoniformes; Salmonidae. The record is from Rfam by way of RNAcentral.
UCCUAUUUGGCUCAGUUGGUAGAGCAUGGUGCUUGCAACGCAAGGGUUGUGGGUUUGAUUCCCACGGGGGGCA